AACGCGAAGAACCUUACCCAGGCUUGACAUCCUCUGACAGCCGUAGAAAUACGGUUUUCAUAGCAAUAUGACAGAGAGACAGGUGCUGCAUGGCUGUCGUCAGCUCGUGCCGUGAGGUGUUGGGUUAAGUCCCGCAACGAGCGCAACCCUCGUCGUGUGUUGGUUCCGCAAGGGCCUCUCAUGCGAGACCGCCGGUGAGAAGUCGGAGGAAGGUGGGGAUGACGUCAAGUCAGCAUGGCCCUUACGUCUGGGGCUACACACGUGCUACAAUGGGUGCGACAACGAGUUCCAAGCUCGCGAGGGUAAGGCAAUCUCUUAAACGCAUCCUCAGUUCGGAUUGAAGGCUGCAACUCGCCUUCAUGAAGUCGGAAUCGCUAGUAAACGCAGAUCAGCUACGCUGCGUUGAAUACGUUCCCGGGCCUUGUA
RNAcentral lists this ribosomal RNA (426 nucleotides) under uncultured delta proteobacterium. RNAcentral's name for it is "bacterial SSU rRNA". It matches the Rfam family "Bacterial small subunit ribosomal RNA", at positions 958 to 1385 of the family's 1533-position model. Lineage: Bacteria; Deltaproteobacteria. RNAcentral also lists the same sequence under 1 other name. The record is from RNAcentral.